Molecule: ribosomal RNA, 119 nt
Filed under: Lepisosteus oculatus (spotted gar)
Lineage: Eukaryota; Metazoa; Chordata; Actinopteri; Semionotiformes; Lepisosteidae
Source: RNAcentral
GCCAGCAGCUAUAUCAUCCUGCAACUCACAGCUGACACCCCACUGAAGCUCAGCAGGUGUGAGCCUAGCCAGUAUCUGGGUGGGAGACCUCUUGGGAAAAACAAAGGAAGCUGCUGGAA